UACGUAGGGUGCUAGCGUUGUCCGGAUUUAUUGGGCGUAAAGGGCUCGUAGGCGGUCUGUCGCGUCGGAUGUGAAAACCCAGGGCUCAACCCUGGGCCUGCAUUCGAUACGGGCAGACUAGAGUACGGCAGGGGAGACUGGAAUUCCUGGUGUAGCGGUGAAAUGCGCAGAUAUCAGGAGGAACACCGGUGGCGAAGGCGGUUCUCUGGGCCUCUACUGACGCUGAGGAGCGAAAGCGUGGGGAGCAAACAGG
This 253-nucleotide ribosomal RNA is filed under the name uncultured bacterium. RNAcentral describes it as "partial 16S ribosomal RNA". It matches the Rfam family "Bacterial small subunit ribosomal RNA", at positions 524 to 776 of the family's 1533-position model. The record is from RNAcentral.